Falco peregrinus (peregrine falcon) is the source of this 8526-nucleotide long non-coding RNA. RefSeq lists it as uncharacterized. The transcript is spliced from 2 exons. NCBI's taxonomy places the organism in Eukaryota, Metazoa, Chordata, Aves, Falconiformes, Falconidae. The record is from RefSeq and is a predicted model, not a curated record.
UCUUCACUGUAGUAAAUAUUAAAGAUAUUGAAAAGGGUUUUUUUGUCUACCCUGGGCCUUUUGAAAGAUACAUUCUCAGUAUCAUUGAAUACAGCUAUGUUUCCUUUCCUCCCUAUUGCCCUUUCUCUUAAGUAUACAUCUUUCUGAUGCUGUUUCAGGCUGAUCUUACUAUCUCCUUACGGGGACUGAGGAAAAGUACUCCCUUUAGCAAAGACAUGUCAGCUCCCUGUGGAAUGUGAUCCGAAGAGCCAAGGGAUAGUAAAUCGGGCAGGAGCUGAGGCUGGAGAUGAAAAAUAAAAAUGCUGUUCAGUGCUAAGCCAUGUUAAAUCAAUUGCAAAGAUGAAGUCACCAGUAAAUCUAUUAUUUCAGGACAAAGAAGCCAGGAGCUGAGGGUGACACACAAUGCAAGCCAGGCAAAGACCUCACCGACCGGGCACAACCUGACCACACUAGAGAAAAACAAGCAGCACAGUGGCAGCAACAAAUUCAUCAGGCAAAGGCAAGGUAACAAGCCGUUUCCAAGGUCAGUCCAGGCAACCCAAACAGCAAUUCAGGAGCAGAACUAGCAGCAAGGACACCUACAACUCACUUCUGUUCUCCCAGUGUAAGAAGGACAUGGGCCUGCUUGAGCAGGUCUAGAGUGGGGGCCACAAAGAUGAUCUGGGGCUGGAGCAGCUCCGCUGUAAGGACAGACUGAGAGAAUUUGGGUUUUUUAGGCUAGAGAAGAGAAGACUUCAGGGAGACCUCAUAGCAGUCUUCUGGGGGAGUGUACAGAAAAGAUAGGGAAGAACUCUUUAUCAGGGAGCAUUGUGACAGGACAAGGGGUAAUGCUUUUAAACUGAAAGAGGGUGGAUUUAAAUCAGAUAUGAGGAAGAAGCUCUUUACUGUGAGGGUGGUGAGAUGCUGGAACAGGUUGCCCAGAGAACUUGUGCAUGGCCCAUCCCUGGAAGCAUUCAAGGCCAGGUUGGAUGGGGCUUUGAACAACCCAGUCUAGUGGAAGGUGUUCCUACCCAUAGAAUUAGAUGAUCUUUAAGGUCCCUUCCAACCCAAACCACUUUAUGAUUCUGUACUAUGAUUCUAAAGACCAAGUUUAAAAAUUAAAUCCUCAUCAGAGAGUGUGGUUGGAAGCCCCAGCUGAGGCUGGUCCAGGCAAUUAAGACCUGCAGUCAAGGCCCUGACAACUGAUGGAUAGGAAGUGAGACUUUGGGAUUAAAGGAAGGAUGCUAAAUUAUUCAGGUGUCAGUGAUGAGGGUCAGCACAUGUGUAAAUCUUUGUGAGAAAAGGUAAGGACAGGAUAAUAAAAUUAUUGUAGAUUUAUUUUUUUUCUAAUGAGGAGGAUAGAAUUUAAAUGUAUUGCAGUGUUUUCCUGUUUAUAUCAUUAUUUUAUAUUAGGUUAAUUACAGGAGUUUAGGAAAUUACUGUUCAUUUGUACUAAAGCAGUGUAACUCACUGCAUGCAUGCUCUUACUCUGCCAAAACUGAAAAAUAAACUAAGUCCACACAUUCAUUCUGCAGUUAGAAAAGGUUUACAGUGGUUGCCGUUGUACCUCAGCUUUGACCUUGCUUUCAGCUAUCCACUUGUAACUUAUAGUUCCUAUAAUGUAAGGCACUCUCAAGAAAAUAUUCCAUGCAUGAGCAGCAACUUGUUCAUACCUCACUGCUUGCUGCCUCAAAUUUCAGCAGAGUAAAAUGUGUAUUUAGAAAAAUGAAUAGAGUUUGAAUAAUAUUAGUCUUCAUAACCCUCAAGUGAGAGAGAAACUGAAGUACAGUCUGCAUAGUAUUGUGAAAUAAAUUCCUAUGUCUAGGUUUGCUCUUAUGAUUAAUGUUUGCGUACAGUAAAACUUCUUAUUCUUCCAGUCAAUGGGUGCCUAUUUGGUGGUAUUUUCUAAGCUCUGCUCAGUGAUUCUUGUCAGUGCUUUAGGGUAUUCACAAGUUAAAUUAAACAUUGGGCAUUUUAGGAGAAUGACACGUUAGGUAACAAUAAACCCAUGCAGCUCAAGAAAAAAAAAAAAAAAGAUUUGGUGACCCCUUCUUACUCUUAAGAAGAGGUUUGGACUAAUUUCUGUGUGAUCAAAGGACUGCUCAAAGGGAGAAAAGCAUACUGCUCUUCCAAAGUUUAGGAGGCCUGAUUGCAACAAGAGCAUGGUACUUCAAGUUUCAGGGACAGCUGACCAUACUUAGCAGUUUGCAAAAACAGACCUAAUUUUACUAGCGUGUCAAAUGGAAUCUUUCAGUUUUCUUAAUUAAAAAUGUCCAGGAGUGAGUGAGCACCUGUCAACAGGGAGCUCUUACACUGAAUCUCUUUUAAUAGUCCUUGUGGAAGGUGUUUAUGGAGAGAGAGUUUUGUUGGAAAUAAGGGUUACAACAGCUAUUCUUAAAAUACAGUAUGUUCAGGAUCAUGGCCCAUCAGGUUUUGCAUUUUAUUCUUUUGAUUUUUAUUAUGAGUGCUGAAUUUCACUUCUACAGGAUCCUGUUUUGCUCAUUUGCUUUCUAGAAUGAAGAGAAUUCAGAAAUCACUGGAAUGAUUUCUGAGUAUGGAGCAGGUCUGUGUGAUUCCAGCUUGCUAUUUUCCAUGUGGCACUGAAAGUCAGUGUCCUCUGCAGCUUGUACUUCACCAGUAACAUUGCAGUGACUUAAAUUUGUAUUGGAGUUUUCACUGGAGGGUACAUUCCACUUGCACAUUGAAUUAGGCUUGUUAGGAUGAUUUUAAACUAAAAAGAGGGAAAGCUAUCCAUUCUAGGACUCAAUCUCAUUCGAAUUUGUACCUGCUAUUUUAAUUAGAAGUUGUGUAAAGCAUAAGUGGAAUUUUGUCCACGAGUGCUUAUGCUGUGGUCCAUGAGAACUACAGAUCAUUUCAGAAUGAGAUGCUUGGAGCUGAUCCCUUGCAGUUUUGAGGCAGUUAAAGAUCAUGUAAUCCAGACUUGGUGCUAGGUCUUGUUUCUGGCCAUUUGUUCCUUCCUGUGCUCUGCAUUUCUACAGGUACUCAUACAACGUCACAGUGAUCCAACUCAGAGAACUGAUCUGACAGGAAAGUGAUCUGUUUGCAGUUAGAUCAGUUCCCUGAGUUGCACAAGCAGCACUAGUAGCACAAGGAAGGAUGCUUAAGUGUGGCAUCUUGGACUGAGAUUGAUUUCAAUGCUGGAGAAUGGCACCUACAUCUACCCCUUCACUGCCAUUAGUAGCUGCAGUCACAUGCUCUGAGCCCGGUGGCUCAGGGUGUUGAGUGCCCAUUGCCUUUGGGGCAAACCUUGUGUGAACCUGUACCUGCUUGGGCUGGAGAGUCUCUCUUUUCAGUGCCAAAUGUUUCUGUCCAAGUGAUAUGUGUGGGAUAUUGAUAGAGAUAUUCAAGAAAUAUGGGCUCAAUCUGACAUAAUGUAGUCCAAGACCCCAGGGAGAGGCUAGGAAAGGGCUAAAAUGGAAGAUACGUUCCUGUGAGAGCUUGCUCCCAUCUGUGCUUUUUAUGGCAUAAUUUAUAUUAUGAUAUUUUCUUCCCAUGACAACAUCUGGGCAAGAAACUGAAGAUGGCAUGAGUGAAAGCUAUUUUUUUGUUAAGUGAGAAAAGAUGCAUGCCUCCUCCUUUCUCCUUAGCCUUUAUUUGAAAUGUUUCUCGAUGUGCCUUCAAAGCACUGUUGCUUUGUAUUCAGCUCAGUUUCCCACACUUUGCCCUGAAAGCUCCAUAAUUAUGUUUUUCAGGAGUAAGAAAAUACAUGUGAAUAAACUGGUCGGUUCACAUCUUGGUUUCUGAAAAUUACAUACUGCCCUCAGUUUGCUCUUGAAGUCUAAAGACUAACUCACAACUGUUGCGAUAAAACUCGACCACUCCUGAAAUGCAUGGGCUGCAGACAACGUAUCAAAUAAUCAUUUAAAAAUAGACACCAACAGAAAGGCAGAUAAACCUCCAAGAUUUUCUUUGAAAGGCAAAACAAGCUGAUGACUAGCUAGUUAAAAAUGCAACCCUGUCUUUCUUUUACCUUGUAUUUUGUGCACAGAUUGAUUCUUCAUUUGGCUUGUGAUAUAAUGGUGCAGUGGAUGACAUGAGGCACAAGAGAGCAAUUAGACUUCUCCACACUAAAUUUACAUUAUGUUUCAUUAUUUUUUACAUGUUAUGAAUGUGCAAAAUGAGUACAGAUAGUCUUACUCCUAUUUCUAGUUGGCAUUAUAUAAAUUUGAACUGAAAAAUGUUCGCUUCCUUUUCCUCUCAUUUAGACGUAGUGCUGUACCUGUGAGGGAUGAUAUUGUUGUUACCGUAGGGAACUGUGAAAAUUAGAUGGAGAAUAUUUUGGGGAAUGAUUCCUUCUUAUUAGUAUGAUUCAGAGGUGCUUCAUCUGGGAAAAUAACAGAGGAACAUUUGUCAGCCAAAUUUAAAUAGUAUACUUUGAAAUAUUCCAUCACAACAUUUCUACAUCCUUUGAAUUGUCUCUUUGUUGGCUUGUUAUUUGGCAGUGGGGAUAUUGUCAGAUAUCUUACAGAUACACAAAGGAUUAAACUGCCUGGAGACAGUCAAGGGGAUCACUUCUUCCUCAGGGCUGGCUAGCAGAAGACAGGCGCUGAAGCAGCACGGAGGAACUGUGUCCACUGACUAAAUAUUUCACAUUUGAAGUCAGAGGAGAGGCUGUGGCUUAGCUGGAAUGAGUGUCCAUGACCUAACAACUUACGGUUUUUUCUGAAUUUUGCAAUAUUUGAUGGCAUGGCUUGAAGCCCCAGGUUCUGGAAUUACACAAUUGUGAUUGUUAAGGCCUUAUUCUUUUGAAGGGGAGACCAAGGAAACAACUGAACCUUAAGGCCCUAAAGACUAACACAGAAAUAAUAUGUAUUACAUAUCUGUAACAAUGUAUCUUUUUAUUAUUCCUGUUUUGCUUUGUAUUUACACAAUGUCAUGAUUUUUUGAGACCUGACUUCUGGAAGCUCAGAGCUUAGUGGUUUAUGAAAGUAACGUGCUGCUGGUCUUUGCCGUGCCCAUGAAGCAGCAAGUCACCUCUGCGCUGGGAUAUAGCACAUCCUGUGUUUCAAGCCUUGUUACAAGGAGCGUGGCUCAACUGAUUUGUACCAGCUGUUGAACUGGAUCUUUAGUGAUGCUUGAUGCCUCUGCUAGGUUUCUAUCAAGGGUAAAAUGCUUGCAUUGAAGAACCAGAAAAUGGGCUUCGUAUCAAAUAAAAUUUCUCAAAGCUGGUAAUUUCCAUUAGGUAUUGGGGAUAUUUGGGAGAUUGUAAAGGAAAUAAUCUGAAGAAUGAUUGCAAAACAGACCGGUAUGCAGACAUAGGAUGGAGUCUGAAGUCUGUCACAAGGAACAUUAUUCUGGCUGUGAAGGCUCGAUAUGGUGAUGUCUCCUGGCAACUUGUCCCUUCAGCUCCCCAGGGAACCUCUGCCUGUGACAGCCUGGCACUACUUGCUGUCUGUAGAAAGCCUACGCCACUAUUCCUGCCUACUAGCCACCAGCAAACACCUCCACAGCAAUCCACUGUGUGAAUGGCCUGUGAUUUCAUAUUCCUGCGUAAUCCCUCUGACAGCCAACCCUAUUAAAAAUUCAUUUCCAUCCAGGCAAAUCAGACUCCCUGAAAUCAAUUGAGCUUUGUUCUCUGAAGGCAGCUUGUGCUGGUGCACAUGUAAUCAAAUCCUGAGGUACCUUGCAUGCAUUUUUACGAGCACUGAGAUAGACUUCAUGUUUCAAUUAUUCUUUUUGAUGUGCAUUUUUGAAGGAAAUUAGAAUAUUAUGCUCAAGUAAACCAACUGGUUUAGAUCUUUCAAAAGAAGUUCCAAGUGAGCAAGCAGAGUUCCUGCCUUUUCUCAGCCGGUACUGACUAUGCAAGUACACACAAAUAUCUCUCUUUGCCAUGCAGCAUAAAAAUAGGUAAGGAGUUGACCUAUGAACUCAGUCUAAAUUUCACCUCUGUCCAUUUGCCUAUUAUUUUCCAAUAGCUGGCUCUUGGCAGCAGUAUUUUUGGUAGGCAUUUUGAAUUGCUCUUCAGAAGUCUUCGGGGACACCUAAAUCAGUCCACUGAUUAAGUAAAUGGAUUUUAGAAGUAUGUAGACCUGCAAUUAAUGAAAAGCUACUCUAAUUCUACCUGAAAAGAAAACAGAAGAGCAUGGGUGUUGGGCAAACACAAUAAGUGGUGUUCAUAGCAGCAGAGGACUGCCCAAAUACACUGCAUUGAGGAGAUCAAAAGGCAUCGAGCGUGCAGGCUCCUUUUAGAUCAGUCUUUUCAGCAUAGUAUUAGCAUCUCUACAGUUGCAAUGCCUCUUUUUUUCUUCCCAAGCUGGCUCUCAAACCCAAAGUGAAAUAGUGAAAGCAUAAGAGUUUAACUUCCCAGCUGAUCAGCGGAGACAGCCAACACAGAUCUGCACGAUACCUGAAAGAUCGAAUGUUUCACACACUGAGCUUGCCUGUUUCCAGCAGGUUUUCAGAGGAACUGUACCCUCUGCAUCGUUCCCAAGCCUUUGCAACAGCAGGAGGGGUGCUAAUAGCAGUGAUAGUCAUGAUUCAUUUGUCUUUCCUUUUUGUUUAUACUAAUAAGAGGAUAGUCAGCUUAUUAUUUAUAACCAGUCUAAUUUCCAUUAGACAUUAGGGAUCAAAGUAGCCACUAGAUACUUGCCAAAACCACUGAGCUCAAAUUGGAGAUUCUUUAACAGCUCUGUCUGGGCCACCAUUUUUUUUUGUUUGCAUGUUUAUAUAGCAAUGAAUCAUACUGUGAAGAUCAAUACCAGAAAUAUCUUUGUUUGCAUGCAUUUCCUGUUUAUGGCCGCCUUUUUACUGCCAAAAAUGCUAGAAAUAUUUUAUGCAGAGGCAGACCAGAAAUUUAAUAUUGUGCAGUGAUUUUCACAAAGAUAGAAGAUAAAAAAUUGUGGCUUUUAUUUUUUCAUGUCCUAAUGAUAUAUGCAGAGACAUUUAAGAGAGGUAUAUAGUCAUAUUUACAACUGGAAAACUGUUUUGAGAGUGUGUUCCUAUGCACUUUACAAAUACAUGCUCUUAUUUAGGUUAUCAACAUAAAAUAGUGAAUCUUCUUUCAAGAUUUCUUGCAUCAUAAUUCCAGGACAACAUUCAGCUGUUUAAAAUAAAUAAUCUUGCUAGAACUCACUCAGAAAGACUAGACCAGAUUCAUCCCAGGUGUAAUUUAACUAACUUAGGUCUAAAACAGAACUCAGUGUUACAUUUGGGAGAGUCAUUACUGCUGCAUGCACUAAUGUCAAAACAAGACUGUUUUACAUUAUCUUGUCCCUAGAGAAAACUUUGCUGAACUCACGAUUGUCCUGUUUGCUUCACCCUGUAGCAUACUUGUGCAUGGCCACCUGUACUUCCAUGUACAGUAACAAUGCCUUUCCCUUUCCCUGAUGAAACCAAGAGAUGUGCAGAUACUAACUGUGAUGUGACUGUUCAUUUAAAUAAGGUUUUGUGUUCCAGUGUUUCCUGUUAGUGGCACACUACAAAGCACUGUUCUUGUCACGGUGCCAUACUAAAAUGGUGAUUCAUGGUUAAGUCAGUCCAAAUGAAGGGUCUCGUUUUGGUUUGUCUGAUUUUUAAGUGUAUCACAGAUUAGGCUGACAGCUGAGGGUAGACUGAGAUCUUUAAUCAAUCCAAAAGUGAGGUGAAACGUACUUGGCAGAUGUACGGACAGGUCAGCUUUCCUUUGCCUGCCUUAGGAGAUGGAACCGUGAAGGCUAAGAAGAUUCUUCAUGCUUCACAGCAUGGUCCAUUUCUAAUCCUCUUGGUGUAAUAGCUCUGAGCUUUCAGUGGUGAUAGGGGCAGCUGGCCAUCAGAAAUUGGGCUGAGGACACUUGCAGGCUGCUUGGCAGCCAUUGUAUAGAACAGCUACCAGGUUGCUAUCAGGCAGUGUUGAACUUGACCUAAUGUCUUUGCCAUGAAGCAAAUAAUGUUCCUUUUCUGUCUCUUAUCAAAGAGAUAUAAUUGGCUGGCAGCACCCACAGUUGAUACAAUGACACUUCUGGCAUAAGUAGUAAAAUAAGUUAAUUUUUCUGGAUGUAAUGAGCUUUGAUAUUGAAGUGAUUCAUGUCUAAGAUCAAAAGGAAGCAUCUUCUGAAGCAGACGCGGUCCUAUUUCCCUCCAGCGCCUUAACUUUCUGUUACAGUAGGCAAUAUCAUUCCCUUUGGUUCCUCUAAACCUGGAAUUUUAUUUUUUAUUUUGUGAGGCAAUGACUUGGUGAGGAUUCAAGUGAAAUCUUCAUUGAUUCUGAGACUGGUAUUACAGAAGGUGCUGCUGGGAUAUAUUGCAGGUCCCUUACUGUUUUCUGUUUAUGAACAACCUACCCCAAGGUGCUAAUUAGCUAGGAGAACUGCAUAUACACAGAGUACUGUUUUGUUCGUCCAUAAAAAUACAUUUGUGGCUGAGGCAAAUUUAACUGCUUGGCUUAACUGUGAGCAUCCUGCAUUUCUGAAAUCAGCAAGGUAAUAGCAAAAAUUUGUGAGACUGGUAUUUUUCAUCUAAAAACUAAUUACAAAUAUUUGGUUAAUUCUUAAUAACACCUACCCUCAUUAAUGAUAUGUUACAUGCAAUAAACCCAUUUAAAUAUUUUUA